Long non-coding RNA from Octopus sinensis (East Asian common octopus), 155 nucleotides. RefSeq lists it as uncharacterized. The record is from RefSeq and is a predicted model, not a curated record. NCBI's taxonomy places the organism in Eukaryota, Metazoa, Mollusca, Cephalopoda, Octopoda, Octopodidae. The transcript is spliced from 3 exons.
CAAAAAAACAGAUCGAGUGAGUUGGUGUUCUGGCGAGGGAACGAGAUCCCCGAACUGGGCACCAGCAUGAGUAGACGGGAACUGUUCUCAGUGUGUGGGAAGCUGGUGGGACACUACCCGAUUGCAGGAUGGCUCUGGACAGCAUGUAGCUUCAU